RNAcentral lists this ribosomal RNA (431 nucleotides) under Stenotrophomonas sp. R-32744. Its description in RNAcentral is "bacterial SSU rRNA". It matches the Rfam family "Bacterial small subunit ribosomal RNA", at positions 18 to 445 of the family's 1533-position model. Lineage: Bacteria; Pseudomonadati; Pseudomonadota; Gammaproteobacteria; Lysobacterales; Lysobacteraceae. The record is from RNAcentral.
CCUGGCUCAGAGUGAACGCUGGCGGUAGGCCUAACACAUGCAAGUCGAACGGCAGCACAGAGGAGCUUGCUCCUUGGGUGGCGAGUGGCGGACGGGUGAGGAAUACAUCGGAAUCUACUUUUUCGUGGGGGAUAACGUAGGGAAACUUACGCUAAUACCGCAUACGACCUACGGGUGAAAGCAGGGGACCUUCGGGCCUUGCGCGAUUGAAUGAGCCGAUGUCGGAUUAGCUAGUUGGCGGGGUAAAGGCCCACCAAGGCGACGAUCCGUAGCUGGUCUGAGAGGAUGAUCAGCCACACUGGAACUGAGACACGGUCCAGACUCCUACGGGAGGCAGCAGUGGGGAAUAUUGGACAAUGGGCGCAAGCCUGAUCCAGCCAUACCGCGUGGGUGAAGAAGGCCUUCGGGUUGUAAAGCCCUUUUGUUGGGAA